Long non-coding RNA from Hyaena hyaena (striped hyena), 546 nucleotides. RefSeq lists it as uncharacterized. The record is from RefSeq and is a predicted model, not a curated record. The transcript is spliced from 3 exons. Lineage: Eukaryota; Metazoa; Chordata; Mammalia; Carnivora; Hyaenidae.
CAUGAAAAUUUUAGGAACCAGGCAAGAUAAUCAAAUAUUCAGGAUAGUUUGGUGCAAAUAAGAAGGUAGACCCCUAACUGACCUCUAAUGUGGUCCUUUCCAAUCUGGUUACUGGCACUCCCACUACCAAUCACUGAUAACUCACACUAAUAAGACCUCUAAAACCAUCUCCUUUCACCUUCUUUUAUAGGUGAAGAAACUAAAGGUCAGAGAAUUGAAGGGACAAAUCUCAAAGAAGCACAGUCAAAUGGAAAAACCAAGAGUAGAAUCUGGGUCUUCUGGCUCCCACCAGCGCUCCUCCUGCUACCACUUGGCCCCCUGAAUCACAUGAUCUCUGAGGAGGGAGGAACAGGACUUCUCAGGGCAGGGAGAAUGAGCUAUCCUCUGAGCUGAGCCUGGCUUGAGCUAUCCACCUGCCUCUGCAACUUGAUGCAUGGAAUCCCAGGACUUCCAUUAGCUAUUUUAGCUGGAACUAGAGAUGGAGUCUCCUGGCUUUCAACUUCAUCCAGAUGCUUUCAUGAAAGUAAAGAAGAAAAGGAAACAGUG